UGAAAUAAAUCGUUUCAAUUUUUGCAUAAUGGUC
This 34-nucleotide small RNA is filed under the name Bombyx mori (domestic silkworm). RNAcentral's name for it is "ovarian small RNA-30520". The record is from RNAcentral. Lineage: Eukaryota; Metazoa; Arthropoda; Insecta; Lepidoptera; Bombycidae.